Molecule: ribosomal RNA, 482 nt
Filed under: uncultured eukaryote
Lineage: Eukaryota
Description: SSU rRNA
Rfam family: Eukaryotic small subunit ribosomal RNA
Source: RNAcentral
UAUAAGCAAUUUAUACAGUGAAACUGCGAAUGGCUCAUUAAAUCAGUUAUAGUUUAUUUGAUAGUACCUUACUACUUGGAUAACCGUGGUAAUUCUAGAGCUAAUACAUGCAUAACAGCCCCGACCUCUGGGAGGGGUGUAUUUAUUAGAUAAAAAACCAAUGCCUUCGGGCUUCCUGGUGAUUCAUAAUAACUUUUCGGAGCGCAUGGCCUUGAGCCGGCGCCGGUUCAUUCAAAUUUCUGCCCUAUCAACUUUCGAUGGUAGGAUAGUGGCCUACCAUGGAUUCAACGGGUAACGGGGAAUUAGGGUUCGAUUCCGGAGAGGGAGCCUGAGAAACGGCUACCACAUCCAAGGAAGGCAGCAGGCGCGCAAAUUACCCAAUCCCGACACGGGGAGGUAGUGACAAGAAAUAACGAUUCAGGGCUCUUUUGGGUCUUGACUUUGGAAUGAGUACAGUGUAAACACCUUAACGAGGAACAAUU